GACGAACGCUGGCGGCGUGCUUAACACAUGCAAGUCGAACGGAAAGGCCCUGCUUUUGUGGGGUGCUCGAGUGGCGAACGGGUGAGUAACACGUGAGUAACCUGCCCUUGACUUUGGGAUAACUUCAGGAAACUGGGGCUAAUACCGGAUAGGAGCUCCUGCUGCAUGGUGGGGGUUGGAAAGUUUCGGCGGUUGGGGAUGGACUCGCGGCUUAUCAGCUUGUUGGUGGGGUAGUGGCUUACCAAGGCUUUGACGGGUAGCCGGCCUGAGAGGGUGACCGGCCACAUUGGGACUGAGAUACGGCCCAGACUCCAACGGGAGGCAGCAGUGGGGAAUAUUGCACAAUGGGCGGAAGCCUGAUGAAGCAACGCCGCGUGCGGGAUGACGGCCUUCGGGUUGUAAACCGCUUUCGCCUGUGACGAAGCGUGAGUGACGGUAAUGGGUAAAGAAGCACCGGCUAACUACGUG
Molecule: ribosomal RNA, 468 nt
Filed under: uncultured bacterium
Lineage: Bacteria
Description: partial 16S ribosomal RNA
Rfam family: Bacterial small subunit ribosomal RNA
Source: RNAcentral